RNAcentral lists this ribosomal RNA (505 nucleotides) under Veillonella dispar. RNAcentral describes it as "bacterial SSU rRNA". It matches the Rfam family "Bacterial small subunit ribosomal RNA", at positions 28 to 502 of the family's 1533-position model. Lineage: Bacteria; Bacillati; Bacillota; Negativicutes; Veillonellales; Veillonellaceae. The record is from RNAcentral.
GACGAACGCUGGCGGCGUGCUUAACACAUGCAAGUCGAACGAAGAGCGAUGGAAGCUUGCUUCUAUCAAUCUUAGUGGCGAACGGGUGAGUAACGCGUAAUCAACCUGCCCUUCAGAGGGGGACAACAGUUGGAAACGACUGCUAAUACCGCAUACGAUCUAAUCUCGGCAUCGAGGAAAGAUGAAAGGUGGCCUCUAUUUAUAAGCUAUCACUGAAGGAGGGGAUUGCGUCUGAUUAGCUAGUUGGAGGGGUAACGGCCCACCAAGGCGAUGAUCAGUAGCCGGUCUGAGAGGAUGAACGGCCACAUUGGGACUGAGACACGGCCCAGACUCCUACGGGAGGCAGCAGUGGGGAAUCUUCCGCAAUGGACGAAAGUCUGACGGAGCAACGCCGCGUGAGUGAUGACGGCCUUCGGGUUGUAAAGCUCUGUUAAUCGGGACGAAAGGCCUUCUUGCGAACAGUUAGAAGGAUUGACGGUACCGGAAUAGAAAGCCACGGCUAAUC